RNAcentral lists this ribosomal RNA (433 nucleotides) under uncultured bacterium. Its description in RNAcentral is "partial 16S ribosomal RNA". It matches the Rfam family "Bacterial small subunit ribosomal RNA", at positions 29 to 507 of the family's 1533-position model. The record is from RNAcentral.
AACGAACGCUGGCGGCAUGCCUAACACAUGCAAGUCGAACGAGACCUUCGGGUCUAGUGGCGCACGGGUGCGUAACGCGUGGGAACCUGCCCUUAGGUUCGGAAUAACUCCCCGAAAGGGGUGCUAAUACCGGAUAAUGUCUUCGGACCAAAGAUUUAUCGCCUUUGGAUGGGCCCGCGUUGGAUUAGCUAGUUGGUAGGGUAAAAGCCUACCAAGGCGACGAUCCAUAGCUGGGCAGAGAGGAUGAUCAGCCACACUGGGACUGAGACACGGCCCAGACUCUUACGGGAGGCAGCAGUGGGGAAUAUUGGACAACGGGCGAAAGGCUGAUCCAGCAAGGCCGGGUGAGUGAUGAAGGCCUUAGGGUUGUAAAGCUCUUUUACCCGGGAUGAUAAUGACAGUACCGGGAGAAUAAGCUCCGGCUAACUCCGUG